This is a non-coding RNA of Heligmosomoides polygyrus, 71 nucleotides long. The record is from Rfam. Lineage: Eukaryota; Metazoa; Nematoda; Chromadorea; Rhabditida; Heligmosomidae.
GUGCCGGUGGUGUAAGGCGAACAUCGCUGCCCGGAAAGCAGAAGAUGCGGGUUCGAGUCCCGCCUGGCGCA